This is a long non-coding RNA of Nerophis ophidion (straightnose pipefish), 2031 nucleotides long. RefSeq lists it as uncharacterized. Lineage: Eukaryota; Metazoa; Chordata; Actinopteri; Syngnathiformes; Syngnathidae. The record is from RefSeq and is a predicted model, not a curated record. The transcript has 3 exons.
CAUUCAGCAGACGUUGGAAGAGUUAUCUUAAUGCCAUCUGGAAGUCAUGGAGAAGUACAUCUACAACCAGAAAACGGCCAGACUCCUCACCCAAGUGGAGAUUCACAAGUUAAAAGUCAUGGUUUUCAAAAACGAAUUGACGUUCCUGGAGGAAAAUAAUAACCUUCAACUUUAGCUCAGAGAGCUCAAGAAAAAAGUCAACAUCAGCUCCUUGAGUAGCCUGACAAUGAACUGUUUCAUUUGUAACUUGUAUUUGUGUGUCUUAACACAACUUCCAAAGUGCCGACAGCCGCCCCUCAAGUUCCCGGAGAGGGUGAGGAAGAAGAUCCUGGGGAAGGAACCAGCCAGGACCCCCCCGGUGAUGAGAUGCCGGCGGCCCAAAAAAAUAAGUCCAAUUAAGGUAGCAGCAGGAUUAACACACCCAACUCUACUGACACUUGCUUGGUUGCUUUUUUACAAUUCUAUGCUUUUAUGGGGAUUGGCCCCUCGCGCCUGUCCUUUAACCCAUGUUUUAUUUUGUUUUUGUUUUUACUUGUGUUUGUAUUUAUUUGUAUUGUAUUUAUUAUUGACAAACUAGUGAGCAUCCUGGAUGAUGCCAGUCACCAUCUGCAUAGUGUUAUCAGUAGCCAGAGGAGCCUGUUCAGUUCUAGACUGCUUCAUCCCAAGUGCAGGACUAAUAGACUCAAAAACUCCUUUGUCCCACACGCCAUUAGACUGUACAACUCCUCUCUGGGAUGACAGGGGAUGCAAAACAAUAACAGUGCAAUACAUUUUCAUAACAUGGUCACUACUGCCUACUUUGUCUUGUUAUAUUCUUAUUUUACUGUUAUAUUUCUGCACAAUAACUCAGAUAUGUAACACUAGCCAGCAGUAGAGAAUAUAAAGUGAUUUUUGGCCCAGGAUGUAUUUUGCUUUAUUCAUUAUUGAAAUAUUUUUUGCCACCUUAUGUUGUAUGUUUUGUAUAUGAGAUUUCCAGUUCAUUUUAUCAUCUAUUAAUACUCCCAAAAAUCUGGUUUCUUUUACCUUUUUGAUAUCUAUUCCAUCUAUUUGUAUUCGUCUCUGAUGCUCUUUUCUACUGUUACCAAAUAGCAUUAUUUUAGUUUUACUGAGAUUCAAGGAUAGUCUGUUUUUAUCAAACCAUUUUUUAAAUUUAUUCAUUUCUUCCGUUAUUAUUUGUAUUAUCUUCUGUGUGUUCUCUCCUGAACAGAAAGCAGUUGUGUCGUCUGCAAAUAAAACUAACUUCAAGUCUUUUGUAACUUUGCAAAUAUCGUUUAUAUACAGAUUGAACAAUCUUGGUCCCAGUAUUGAUCCCUGGGGUACACCACAAGAUAUAUCGAAUCGUGUUGAACUAUUUUCACCCAUCUUCACAUAUUGCUUCCUGUUGGUUAAAUAACUUCUUAUCCAGCUCAAGACCAAACCUCUGAUGCCAUAACGUUCUAGUUUUUGAAUUAAAAUAUCAUGAUUAAUUGUGUCAAAUGCUUUUGUUAAAUCCAUGAAUACUGCGGCUGCACAUUCCUUACCGUCUAUUGCAUUGCUCAUUUCCUCUGUUAUUUUGAUUAAUGCUAUUGAAGUUGAGAUAUUUGCUCUAAAUCCAAAUUGGUUCUCCGCGAGCGUCCCACUUUUAUUGAUAAAUGUAUCUAAUCUACUAUUGAAUAGUUUUUCUAUGAUUUUGGAGAAUUGUGGAAGUAAUGAAAUUGGUGUGUAUUUAGUGAACUGGUGUGUGUCUCCCUUCUUAUGAAUUGGUACAACUUUAGCAAUUUUCAUUUUGUCAGGGAAUUUGCCGGUAAAAAAUUAUUCGUUACUAAUAUAUGUAAGAGGUUCUGAAAUGUCUUGUAUAACCUUUUUUAUUGUUAGCAUAUCUAGUCCAUGACAGUCAGUUGAGGUCUUAGAUUUACAAUUAUUUACAAUUUUGAUUACUUCUUCUUUUGUCACCUUCUUUAAAAACAUGGAAUUGGGAUUUCUGUCUAUGAGCUCACUCAAGUCCUCAACUGACCCAUCAUCUGCUUUUGGAAUUCUUUGUUCCAGAUUUUU